AUUAGUGCAAUAUAUCCUGAAAGCCUAUCACUUUAGAAAUCUGUGUUUAUAGAUAGCAAAGAAAAGAUUUGAGGGUAGCAAAAUUGAGAAAGAAACAGGCACGUGGAGGGCUCAGGAUGAUGAACAUCUCUUUUUGACAGAUGAAGAGCUUCUCCCUCCCAGGAGCCAACGCUGUCCCUCUCCCAGUGGUUGUGCCAUGGAGACAACUCCUGGAGACGUGUCCUCUACCAAAUUGAUGCCACGCGACCAGCUCUUGGCGGGGCUGGACUGGAUGCAGAUCUUCUGAGUCUCAGCCGCACACUUUCUCCAACACCUCUGAACUUUGAGAUGAAUGAAAAAUACUGUAUGUACAUGAAACAGAAGCUCUAUUCUAGGUUAGCCCAUGGAUCCAAAUGGUUUGAUCGUGUGUGCACAUGCACGUGGGUUUUGGAAACCUUUAGCAGUCAGUGGCCUUUGCUCCUUUGGCUUCUGGAUGAGCCGCUUUGCUUUUAAAAUUCAGAUUGUGACUUUUCAGGAAAUACACAGGUAAUACAUUUUUAAAACAGAAUGUUUUUUUUUCCAAUAAAUUCUGGAAUUCAGAUUUUCCCAAAUCAAGGCAAACGAGAGUUUGAUGCAUAUCAAAGUCAGGCAAGAAGAAAGGCACUUAUCUAUUAGCAUUUCCUGACACUAGAAUGCCAUUUUGUAAGUGUACAUUUUGCUGCACGUAGAGUCCAU
This 714-nucleotide long non-coding RNA is filed under the name Canis lupus familiaris (dog). Its description in RNAcentral is "lncRNA (ENSCAFG00000037890.3, ENSCAFG00845022466.1)". The record is from RNAcentral. Lineage: Eukaryota; Metazoa; Chordata; Mammalia; Carnivora; Canidae.